This 405-nucleotide ribosomal RNA is filed under the name uncultured bacterium. Its description in RNAcentral is "bacterial SSU rRNA". It matches the Rfam family "Bacterial small subunit ribosomal RNA", at positions 354 to 776 of the family's 1533-position model. The record is from RNAcentral.
GUGGGGAAUCUUGCACAAUGGGCGAAAGCCUGAUGCAGCCAUGCCGCGUGAGUGAAGAAGGCCCUAGGGUUGUAAAGCUCUUUCAGCAGGGAAGAUAAUGACUGUACCUGCAGAAGAAGCCCCGGCUAACUCCGUGCCAGCAGCCGCGGUAAUACGGAGGGGGCUAGCGUUGUUCGGAAUUACUGGGCGUAAAGCGCGCGUAGGCGGAUUAGUCAGUUGGGGGUGAAAGCCCGGAGCUCAACUCCGGAAUUGCCUUCAAUACUGCUAGUCUUGAGUCCGAGAGAGGGUGGUGGAAUUCCCAGUGUAGAGGUGAAAUUCGUAGAUAUUGGGAAGAACACCAGUGGCGAAGGCGGCCACCUGGCUCGGUACUGACGCUGAGGUGCGAAAGCGUGGGGAGCAAACAGG